RNAcentral lists this ribosomal RNA (497 nucleotides) under uncultured bacterium. RNAcentral's name for it is "partial 16S ribosomal RNA". It matches the Rfam family "Bacterial small subunit ribosomal RNA", at positions 28 to 507 of the family's 1533-position model. The record is from RNAcentral.
GAUGAACGCUGGCGGCGUGCCUAAUACAUGCAAGUCGAGCGAACGGACGAUAAGCUUGCUUCUCUGAUGUUAGCGGCGGACGGGUGAGUAACACGUGGAUAACCUACCUAUAAGACUGGGAUAACUUCGGGAAACCGUAGCUAAUACCGGAUAAUAUUUUGAACCGCAUGGUUCAAAAGUGAAAGACGGUCUUGCUGUCACUAAUAGAUGGAUCCGCGCUGCAUUAGCUAGUUGGUAAGGUAACGGCUUACCAAGGCAACGAUGCAUAGCCGACCUGAGAGGUUGAUCGGCCACACUGGAACUGAGACACGGUCCAGACUCCUACGGGAGGCAGCAGUAGGGAAUAUUCCGCAAUGGGCGAAAGCCUGACGGAGCAACACCGCGUGAGUGAUGAAGGUCUUCGGGUCGUAAAACUCUGUUAUUAGGGAAGAACAUAUGUGUAAGUAACUGUGCACAUCUUGACGGUACCUAAUCAGAAAGCCACGGCUAACUACGUG